GGGUGGUAAUGCCGGAUGCUCCAGUUGGAUGCAUGUCCUUCUGGGAAAGAUUCAUCGGUAUGGGAUGGGGUCGCGUCCUAUCAGCUUGAUGGCGGGGUAACAGCCCACCAUGGCUUCGACGGGUAGCCGGCCUGAGAGGGCGACCGGCCACACUGGGACUGAGAUACGGCCCAGACUCCUACGGGAGGCAGCAGUGGGGAAUAUUGCACAAUGGGCGCAAGCCUGAUGCAGCGACGCCGCGUGCGGGAUGACGGCCUUCGGGUUGUAAACCGCUUUUGACUGGGAGCAAGCCUUCGGGGUGAGUGUACCUUUCGAAUAAGCACCGGCUAACUACGUGCCAGCAGCCGCGGUAAU
RNAcentral lists this ribosomal RNA (354 nucleotides) under Bifidobacterium adolescentis. Its description in RNAcentral is "bacterial SSU rRNA". It matches the Rfam family "Bacterial small subunit ribosomal RNA", at positions 158 to 524 of the family's 1533-position model. The record is from RNAcentral. Lineage: Bacteria; Bacillati; Actinomycetota; Actinomycetes; Bifidobacteriales; Bifidobacteriaceae.